GGUUGUAGCUCAAUGGUAGAACGUGUACUUAGCAUGCAUGAGGCCCUGGGUCCAAUCCCCAGCACCA
Molecule: transfer RNA, 67 nt
Filed under: Marmota monax (woodchuck)
Lineage: Eukaryota; Metazoa; Chordata; Mammalia; Rodentia; Sciuridae
Description: tRNA.Ala
Source: RNAcentral